GUGCAAUCCAACUCCUCUAUCCAGUACGGGUUUACACCUGCCAGAUGUGGGGAGAUAGGCUGGAUUAUUUCUCAAGCGUUGGACAUUUCUGCACAUUCAUUUUAUCAGAGUGUCUGCCAUUAAUGAGCAGCAUCACAAUUUUAUGAAGCCUCUUUUGUUCAUGAAGAGUGAUUCUAGUAAGUAACAGGUAUCAGUAAGAAAUUACAGGCCAGUUUCUACAUACAUGAAACAUCCAUCAAACCUGAGGGAUUUUCGAUAGAGUAGUGAGCUUGUUCUAAAACAUGAGAAAUGUAAGACAGCUA
Tyto alba (common barn owl) is the source of this 302-nucleotide long non-coding RNA. RefSeq lists it as uncharacterized. The record is from RefSeq and is a predicted model, not a curated record. NCBI's taxonomy places the organism in Eukaryota, Metazoa, Chordata, Aves, Strigiformes, Tytonidae. The transcript has 3 exons.